GUGAAUCAUCGAAUCUUUGAACGCAAAUUGCACUCUCUGGUAUUCCGGAGAGUAUGCCUGUUUGAGGGUCAGUUUAAAUAAAAAUCGGUGUUGUUGCUGCCUUUCGUGGUGACGCACCGGAUUGGGGUCUUCUUUCCUUCGGUUAAGUUACCUAAAUUUUUGCAUGAUUUUUUUCGAACUUAUUUAAGUGUUUUUACGUACGUUUUCUAUAUAGAAUACUAGGUGUGGUCAUCCUCAUGAUUCGCGCCUAUAAUUUUUUAUCAAGAUGUCCUCAAAUCAGGUAAGAGUACCCGCUGAACUU
Molecule: unclassified non-coding RNA, 301 nt
Filed under: Glomus sp.
Lineage: Eukaryota; Fungi; Glomeromycota; Glomeromycetes; Glomerales; Glomeraceae
Description: partial contains 5.8S ribosomal RNA, internal transcribed spacer 2, and large subunit ribosomal RNA
Rfam family: 5.8S ribosomal RNA (bases 1-71)
Source: RNAcentral